GCUGGGCGUGGUGGUGCAUGCCUGUAAUCCCAGCAGCUCUGGAGGCUGAAGCAGGAGGAUAGCAAGUUCAAGCAGUCUCAGCAAAAGAAAGGCAGCAAGCAACUCAGUGAGACCUGUCUCUA
RNAcentral lists this small RNA (122 nucleotides) under Marmota monax (woodchuck). Lineage: Eukaryota; Metazoa; Chordata; Mammalia; Rodentia; Sciuridae. The record is from RNAcentral.